RNAcentral lists this ribosomal RNA (708 nucleotides) under uncultured bacterium. RNAcentral describes it as "bacterial SSU rRNA". It matches the Rfam family "Bacterial small subunit ribosomal RNA", at positions 1 to 688 of the family's 1533-position model. The record is from RNAcentral.
AAUUCGAUUGAGUUUGAUCAUGGCUCAGAACGAACGCUGGCGGCGUGGAUAAGACAUGCAAGUCGAACGGGACAACAUUUGUAGCAAUAUAGAUGUUGUUUAGUGGCGAACGGGUGCGUAACACGUGGGGAAUCUGCCGAGAAGUGGGGGAUAGCUCGCCGAAAGGCGAAUUUAUACCGCAUAUGAUCAGGGAAGACAUCUUUCCGACAUCAAAGCCGGGGCAACCUGGCGCUUCUUGAUGACCCCGCGGCCUAUCAGCUAGUUGGUGAGGUAACGGCUCACCAAGGCUAUGACGGGUAGCUGGUCUGAGAGGACGACCAGUCACACUGGAACUGAGACACGGUCCAGACACCUACGGGUGGCAGCAGUCGAGAAUUUUUCUCAAUGGGGGCAACCCUGAAGGAGCGACGCCGCGUGGAGGAUGAAGGCUUUCGGGUUGUAAACUCCUGUCAUUUGAGAACAAGCGCUAGCAAGUAACUACUGCUAGCUUGAUAGUAUCAGAAGAGGAAGAGACGGCUAACUCUGUGCCAGCAGCCGCGGUAAUACAGAGGUCUCAAGCGUUGUUCGGAUUCAUUGGGCGUAAAGGGUGCGUAGGUGGCGGGGUAAGUCAGGUGUGAAAUUUCGGAGCUUAACUCCGAAACUGCAUUUGAUGCUGCCUUGCUUGAGGACUGGAGAGGAGACUGGAAUUCACGGUGUAGCAGUGAAAUG